RNAcentral lists this ribosomal RNA (1193 nucleotides) under metagenome. Its description in RNAcentral is "SSU rRNA". It matches the Rfam family "Eukaryotic small subunit ribosomal RNA", at positions 558 to 1774 of the family's 1831-position model. The record is from RNAcentral.
AGUCUGGUGCCAGCAGCCGCGGUAAUUCCAGCUCCAAUAGCGUAUAUUAAAGUUGCUGCGGUUAAAAAGCUCGUAGUUGGAUUUUGGAACCUGAAUGGUUGGUCGGGCACUCCCUGUACUGACCAUUCGGUUCUUCUGUCUGGAGACUCCUCGUUCCUUCUUAACUGAAGGGCUUGGGGGAUCUAGGACUUUUACUUUGAACAAAUUGGAGUGCCCAACGCAGGCCUAUGCCUUGAAUACAUUAGCAUGGAAUAACGUAUAGGACUUUGGUUCUAUUUUGUUGGUUUUAAGGACCGAAGUAAUGAUUAAUAGGGAUAGUUGGGGGCAUUAAUAUUUAAUUGUCAGAGGUGAAAUUCUUAGAUUUAUGAAAGAUUAACUUCUGCGAAAGCAUUUGCCAAGGAUGUUUUCAUUAAUCAAGAACGAAAGUUAGGGGAUCGAAGACGAUCAGAUACCGUCGUAGUCUUAACCAUAAACUAUGCCGACUAGGGAUUGGAAGAAGUUAUUUUCACGACUCCUUCAGCACCUUAUGAGAAAUCAAAGUCUUUGGGUUCCGGGGGGAGUAUGGUCGCAAGGCUGAAACUUAAAGGAAUUGACGGAAGGGCACCACCAGGAGUGGAGCCUGCGGCUUAAUUUGACCCAACACGGGAAAACUUACCAGGUCCAGACAUAGUAAGGAUUGACAGAUUGAGAGCUCUUUCUUGAUUCUAUGGGUGGUGGUGCAUGGCCGUUCUUAGUUGGUGGAGUGAUUUGUCUGCUUAAUUGCGAUAACGAACGAGACCUUAACCUACUAAAUAGUUACGCGAACCUUUGUGUUCGCGGCCAACUUCUUAGAGGGACUUUUGCGUGCUUUAACCAAAGGAAGUUUGAGGCAAUAACAGGUCUGUGAUGCCCUUAGAUGUUCUGGGCCGCACGCGCGCUACACUGAUACGUUCAGCGAGUUUACAACCUUGACCGAUAGGUCUGGGUAAUCUUAAAAAGCGUAUCGUGAUGGGGAUAGAUCUUUGUAAUUAUGGAUCUUCAACGAGGAAUUCCUAGUAAACGCGAGUCAUCAGCUCGCAUUGAUUACGUCCCUGCCCUUUGUACACACCGCCCGUCGCUCCUACCGAUUGAAUGGUCCGGUGAGCUCUUCGGACUGACUGGGUCCCUCUGGAAACAGAGGCCUGCGUCGGGAAGUUGCGCUAACCUUAUCAUUU